CCGCAAGGCUCUUGCCGCAUGCCCACGGCUCAUGAGUUAGCAUAUUUUGGCGCUUAGCUCCUUUUGAUUUAAUGUCAAAUCCCGCUUUUCAAUUUUCUCAAAAGGAACUAUAUCUACUUUUACAUUGUUUCUUAUGACCCAACUAACGAGCAUACCCCACCUUUCCACUUGCACAUAUCUCCUUUUCGCAUAAAUACGUCCAGUUGAGGUGUUUUCCCUGCAGACAGCUGCAUUUCCCGAGCUUUGGGGCGUCUUGAGCGUGGCGCGUGAAAUUGGAUCGUUUACCGGUAUGGAGCGUCAACUGCGCUUCCAUUCAAGGCUCGCACGCAUGUCUCCUUUGCUUCACUUUGUCUCAUGUGCUUCUCUCGCGGGUAGCCUCCAAUCCUUUGAGUAUUCCUUGUUUCUUUCACUCCGCGCUCAGUGUUUUUUUCUCGGUGCUUUACGAGAAGAAGAAAAAUCCCAAGUUUACCUCAAACAAUGGGCCUUUGGUUCACCUGCGCCCUUUGACUCUCAAUUUUUUUAACCACGACACCAACUUGGAGAGGCAUCGAAACCCCUCAGGAGCGUCAUUCAGGUUUCUCUUAGAUAUCACUUUGCGAUGAUUACUGUCUUCCUGUUGAUUUUGUAAAUAAAAGACGACCAGUCAGCCUUGGAGCUCAUCAUUUUUCUAGUCCCGAUGGAGAGAGAGUCGAAGUAAUCGAAAAUUAUUCUGAUCCAAGAGAUUCCAAAGCAUACUUGCAGCCGGGUGAAGAGGCGUCAGCCAAAUUAUAUUCUAGUCCUGAUUCAAAGUAUAGUCAACCCUGUGAAGAGAGGUUACGAGCCCUCGAGAGUGGGGGAGGGAGGAAGGCGGAGGAUGGGAUUUCGACGGCUUGGGCUGGGACGCCGUACUACUACGCGGACAUCCACAAGAUCCGAUCCUCGAAGACGGAAUCGGCGCGUCGGCAGGCGAGCUUGGGGAAGAGCGUGAGCUUGGACACAUCAGACGAUGCCUGGAUGCCGACCCGGGAGCCAAGGAGGACUCCGGCAGUGAGCUCAGGCGCCUUGCCCGACUCCCGACGCAACACGCUCUACAUCCCGGAGCGCGGCUUCUUGGAGGAGUCGUUGGGCAGCGAGCUCCCUUCUGAUGAGGAGCUGGUCGCCGGCUGCCAGCCUAUGACUGGGACUCGCCCACGCGAAUCCUCGACGAGCUCCAUCUAGACGAGAUGUCGCAAAAGAGACAUGUCUACGAGACCGCCUUCGACUCACAAGUCAGCAGGUGAGCACUUUCAUUCUUCAUCUUUAGAGAGGCGACUAGAUUUUCCAGGCUCAUUCUUGAAAUUGAUCGGCGAAGCUAUGUCGCAGGCAAAUAGUAAAAUCAGGCGUUUUGGACGUAUUUAUGCG
RNAcentral lists this long non-coding RNA (1380 nucleotides) under Bemisia tabaci. Its description in RNAcentral is "lncRNA ENSSWEETPG004293". Lineage: Eukaryota; Metazoa; Arthropoda; Insecta; Hemiptera; Aleyrodidae. The record is from RNAcentral.